GACGAACGCUGGCGGCGUGCCUAAUACAUGCAAGUUGAGCGAUGAAGAUUGGUGCUUGCACCAAUUUGAAGAGCAGCGAACGGGUGAGUAGCGCGUGGGGAAUCUGCCUUUGAGCGGGGGACAACAUUUGGAAACGAAUGCUAAUACCGCAUAAUAACUUUAAACAUAAGUUUUAAGUUUGAAAGAUGCAAUUGCAUCACUCAAAGAUGAUCCCGCGUUGUAUUAGCUAGUUGGUGAGGUAAAGGCUCACCAAGGCGAUGAUACAUAGCCGACCUGAGAGGGUGAUCGGCCACAUUGGGACUGAGACACGGCCCAAACUCCUACGGGAGGCAGCAGUAGGGAAUCUUCGGCAAUGGACGAAAGUCUGACCGAGCAACGCCGCGUGAGUGAAGAAGGUUUUCGGAUCGUAAAACUCUGUUGGUAGAGAAGAACGUUGGUGAGAGUGGAAAGCUCAUCAAGUGACGGUAACUACCCAGAAAGGGACGGCUAACUACGUG
RNAcentral lists this ribosomal RNA (497 nucleotides) under uncultured bacterium. RNAcentral's name for it is "partial 16S ribosomal RNA". It matches the Rfam family "Bacterial small subunit ribosomal RNA", at positions 28 to 507 of the family's 1533-position model. The record is from RNAcentral.